GAAGGAAGGAAAGAAAGAAAGAGAAAAAGGAAGAAAGAAGAAAGAAAGAAAGAAAGAAAGAAAGAAAGAAAGAAAGAAGACAAAGUUGACUUUGCUCAUUCAUCCCUGCAUCCCAGUCCACAAUUUUGUUUGUAUAUUAGAAUUCAGGUAUGGAAUGGGAAAAAAUAAACUGUGAUACGUAACAGCACCUUAGCCCCUUCUCACUGGCCCUACUUUCUUUGCCUGAAAGGAGAUUUAGGCCAAACUGGGAAAAAUUUCAGCCCCAGCUUGGCCAAGUUGCCUGAUGGUAUCAUAGCUCAAUUUCCUCAUCUGUAUGAUGGGGGUAUAAUAGUACCUAUUAUUAUUUACCUCAUUUCUGGAUACACUGUAUGUCCCCACUUGUGAUUCUUCCUUUGCACUUUCACAUACAAUGGGCUACUCUGUUAGAAAGCUCUUUCUUAUAUUAAGCUAAAAUUGGUCCCACUAGUCCAAGGUCUACCUGUUAGAAAUUAUGGAACAAAUCUAACCCCAUUUCUAUAUAACACUUUUGGGGGUGGCACAAAUACCCAUCGGGGAUGCACACAUGCACUUUAUUUGCUACAUAAGCAUAGCACAGGUGCUCAGAGUCACAGUCAACCAUUCUGAGAACUUAAGGGAGAAGCAGCCCAAUUCAUGGCUCCAUCCCUGACUAUCUGUCUCUGCUACAGGAGUCAGUGUGACAUAGUGGAAAGAAAACAGAUGUUUAAGUCAGAAGUUCCUGGAGGCAACUUCUGACCCUACCCAGUGUGAGGUGAGUCAUUUAACCUCUUUGAACCUCAAACUCAAAUAAUCUCAUCCGUAAAAUGAUCAGGGGCUCCAACUGAAAAAAAGAUGUAACAGUAACUAUUUGAAUUUCCACCUUAAAAUAUUUUACCAGAGUUUCAAACAUUUAAACAAAAGCAUCCAAUAAAAUAACAUCAAAGACUUUUCAAAUAUUCCAACAAAUGGCUAUUGCUGAUACAUUAAAUGUGAAUAACUUCACUUCUUUUUUAUCAUUUAAUUUCCAAAUUUAAAAAAAUAACAAUAAGGGUGACAGUACUUUUAGAUCAUGUCAUAUGGAGUCAGAAAAAAAGCUGAAACUGUUCUGUGAUUCAUAAAAGGUUCCUAAAACCACCAGACAAGGCUUCGAGGAAUAGGAAAAGGGAGCUGGAAGCCCAGGGAGGAGGUGUUCUUAUGUCCCUCAGGGUCCCCCAAUCCUCAAGCCUAUGGACACGAAACUGUGGGAGAGAGGAGAGAAGGAGGCCCAAGGCCUGUAGAGAAUUUGCACUCCUUGACUAGGGGGAAGCCCCAGUACUUCCCUUGCACUGGAUUUCCCCAGCCACCUCACUUUCAAGUCAUAGUUGCUGGGAUCCUCUAUCUUCAGGACCUUGGACAAGUUCUCCCAGUGAUGCACCAGAGAAAUGUCUUUGCUCAACUGUUCAUCAUCCAUGGAGUUAGAAAACCUUUGUGUUGAGUGGAACCCCAGAGGGAGACCAUUGAAUGUGUUAUAAGAAACAGACUCUUUGCCACUCAAGAGGCACCAUGUUUUGUCAUACAUCAGCACCUUUCCUCUGGCUGUACCCCAGCCCUCAUUCCUAAAAAAAUGUUAUUUCCCCACAUCUUGACCUAUGUCUAAGUGAGAGGCUGUCUUCUGUGUAACGUUUUCUCACACUGGUCUUUCUGAUUUCCUAUACCUCUUAAUGAGCAUAUUCUUAUAGAAAGAGUAUACGAGAAACUGUUUUUGUCUAUCUCAUGUGCUUGGCACAGUGUAUCUGUUUAUUCUUUUUCUACCUUUGUCACUACAAUCUACGUCCUAUCCCAGACACUGAUACUGUCCUCCUUUCUCCUUCUCUACACCACAAAACCACUCUUAAGGUUUGUCUGGACUUGCUCUUCCACUUCCUUUCUCACCCCCUACCCUACAUCCCUUUCUAUCCUAAGUCGUGUAAGUUGUGUGUUUCUUACCCCCAAUGAAACUGAACCCUUAAAGGCAUACCAUGACUUCUAAAUCUCCUACCUGCCAAGAAACUCAGUGCUAAAUCUAGUGCUCAACUGCAGCACUUAACUCACUUCUAGUGCCACCUUCUAGUUCAUUAUUGAGCUGUCUUCUUAAAAUGUUUAUUUCAGUUCUCCUACUUAAUGUGUGUUAUAAUCUUUUAAGUAUCUUCAAAUACAUUUUGGGAAAGGGCAAGAAAUAACUACUUGUUACCAAAGUCACUGAGUCCCGUGGUUCCUUCUCAGCUCGCACCCACCUCUGCCCUUCUCUAACUUUUGAUGCUGCUGCUGGCUGUCACAUGGAAACACCCUCCUUGUUCCAUCUCUGUCAUGCUCUGUCUCUACUUUCUUUGCUCUCUCCUUGUCCUGCCUGAGGCAGACACAGUUCCUGCCAUUUGCCCUAGUUCUCUCUUCCCCUUGUUUCUACUUUCUUUCAUCCCCACCCCAUUCUCUCUCCAAUGGAUGUCCCACUCAGUGCCAUGGUUCAACUAGGACUGAGAUGUCAAUGACAUGGGUGCCAGUUCAGGCUCAAGCCCCAGGACUACAUUUCCAGUGGCCUCUUCAACAGUUCUUGGAAAUGCUAUGGGUACCCCAGACUUGAUAGAUCUAAAAUUUUCUUUCAUCUUCUUCCCAUCCUCUUCAUUUUUAUUAAUGACAUCACCAGAUCCUUGGUCUCCUAGAUUUCAAAUUUCAGAGCCAUCUUAUACUCCUUGCUUUCCAUUAUUCCAUAAUCCAUUAAUAGCCAAAUGCUGCCAGAUCAGCAUCCUCCAUGUCCCACAUUUGUCUCCUCUUUUCUAUCCCCUCUGCCUCUGUCCUAGCUCCAACUCUCAUUCGUGCUUCCUUCCCUAUAUCCCUGCUGCAGUCCCCUAUUUGGCUUCCCUGCUUCUAGUCCUUCCCAAUGCCAAUAUGGUUUUACACUGUGCCAGAAUAAUCUUCCAUAAAUACCUCUCUGACCAUAUGACCCCCUGUUCCUAUACCUCUGAUGCCUGCCCAGUGCCUAGAGAACAAAGGCCAGAUGACUUGGCAUUCCAGUCAAGACCCUACAGGAUUUGGGCACCAAGAUCCUUUUCCUUACUGUCAUCUAUUUCCCCUGCCUUUUAGUUCCAGAAAACUCCUUGUCCUUUCUCUCUUCCUUGCCUUGAUUCAUACUCUUCCCGUCUCUUCAUCAAUACCUAACCAGUUUUCAAAUGCUUCCCUGCCUAAAUCUUUCCUAAUCUCUCUAGCGAGACCCAUCUUUCUCAUCUGUAUUUUGCUAAACCUUUAUUAACAUUUGGUAUCAGUCUUACAGGGAACUCAUUUUUUUUAAAAAAAUUCCUAUAUGCUGGGCUAUGUGUUUCACAUUUUGUACUUUUCAAUGUUUACAAUUCCAUGAAAUGGGUUUAUUAAAACCAUUUUGUAGAUGGAAUAACAGGUUCAUAAAGCCAAGCUACAUGGGCAGUGAAGCACAGUGGCUCUUCAGACCAUACUCCCUACACUCUUUACACACCAGAUAACCUCUUUUAAAUAAGUAUUCCACUUCGUCCUCCCUUAAGAGCUACAGAAAUCUAAGAGAACUGAUAUGACUACUUAAUAGUGAUAAAGUAGCUCUGUCUUUGGACUGUCCUAGUCCCAGUUCUUUGUGUGGCUUUUCUCCUUUUAGACCCUCUUCUGAUAUUUGGUUACUAUUGCCUUUUAAAGGUUUCAUUAUUAUGCAUAAUGUAUUCAUCGAAGGGCAGCAUUUCCUGUAAUUUAUGUCUCUUCAUUUUACUACUCAGCA
This 3748-nucleotide long non-coding RNA is filed under the name Homo sapiens (human). Its description in RNAcentral is "non-protein coding lnc-WDR72-4:1". The record is from RNAcentral. Lineage: Eukaryota; Metazoa; Chordata; Mammalia; Primates; Hominidae.